RNAcentral lists this ribosomal RNA (506 nucleotides) under uncultured Oscillospiraceae bacterium. RNAcentral describes it as "partial 16S ribosomal RNA". Lineage: Bacteria; Bacillati; Bacillota; Clostridia; Eubacteriales; Oscillospiraceae. The record is from RNAcentral.
CACGUAGUUAGCCGUGGCUUCCUCCUUGGCUACCGUCAUUAUCGUCACCAAGGACAGAGGUUUACAAUCCGAAAACCUUCUUCCCUCACGCGGCGUCGCUGGGUCGGGGUUUCCCCCAUUGCCCAAUAUUCCCCACUGCUGCCUCCCGUAGGAGUCUGGGCCGUGUCUCAGUCCCAAUGUGGCCGUUCAACCUCUCAGUCCGGCUACCAAUCGUCGGCAUGGUGGGCCUCUACCCCGCCAUCUACCUAAUUGGACGCGAGCCCAUCUCUCAGCGGAUUGCUCCUUUGAUUGCAAAACCAUGCGGCUCUGCAAUGUUAUGCGGUAUUAGCGAUCGUUUCCAAUCGUUAUCCCCCUCUGAAAGGCAGGUUGCUCACGCGUUACUCACCCGUCCGCCACUCGAAUAUGCCCUUCCUCGGCCGAAGCCCUUGUCCAGCAUAUCCCCGUUCGACUUGCAUGUGUUAGGCGCGCCGCCAGCGUUCGUCCUCGAGCCGAGGACUACAACUACU